Molecule: long non-coding RNA, 1019 nt
Organism: Rosa chinensis
Lineage: Eukaryota; Viridiplantae; Streptophyta; Magnoliopsida; Rosales; Rosaceae
Exons: 2
Source: RefSeq, a predicted model, not a curated record
CCUUCCUGGUGUUAAUCUUCUUUUUGAUGGCUCAGAGUUGCACCCCUUUGAGAUAGGUGCUUGUCUACAGGCUCGGCAACCAGUCUCAUUAAUAGCAGAGGCAGCAGCUGCUUCUGCAUCUCUGCAACAAACUAGGGCUUCGUCCUAGAAAUGCGGUUCAGUGGCAUUUAUAGACUCAUCAUGUUACUAACAAGUAACAAGUGACUGCCACGUCCUUCAUGCUUAUUGUCUGGCUCGUCUCCUCAUCUUUGAGGUUGGUAAAAUGUGCGUCCGCUCCAGCUUAGUUCAGAGGUAGUUGAUUUGGUACACAACUUUGUCUGAUCAUGGAUACACCCCUGGUUUGUAACUAUAAUGAAAAAGAGACUGAACAGCGUUUUGGUCAAGUAUACCUUGAUCAUAAAUGAUGCUGAGCUCAUGGUUACUUAUAUCCACCAUUAAAGAAACACAUUUUUUUUUAUCAUUUUAUGUUCGUAACUUUUUUUUUUUUUCCUUUUUGGGGUGGGGGGAGAUAGAUAUCAUGCUCGUGUGUUGUUGCACAAUUUUGAUUGAUUAAUAUGUGAAAACAUUCUUGGGUAGAAGGAGAAAGAAUUAGAGAAAUGAAGGCAUUCUGCGGCAAAACUGCUUUCAACUUGGUAGGUGACAGUUUUCACUGCUUUUGGUAAUUUCACUCUUGUGGAGAAACAAUCUACUGCAGUGUGCUCGUCUUUUUUUCUCUCAUUUUGAAGAAAUUUUCUGGUGACAUUCCUUUUCCCUCUGGAUUAAAGAAACAAUUCCCUAAAUACAUUUGACGGGAGUGGAGGGAAAAGGGAAAAUUGUUAAUAUCUAAAGUUGGAAGCAAAUGUUUAUUUAUUUGGUUGUAAUUUAAGAUUAUUAUGUUUUUGAUGAGCACCCAGGAGAGAAUUUGCCUGUAUGUUUGGUAAAAUGCAAUGAAGCAGAAAAUAUUCUUAUAAUUAUUUAAUUGGCGAUUUGUAGUUUGUAAUAACUAAUACUCAAGAUUCAAUUUGCUUGAGGGCAGUGAA